This 445-nucleotide ribosomal RNA is filed under the name uncultured bacterium. Its description in RNAcentral is "bacterial SSU rRNA". It matches the Rfam family "Bacterial small subunit ribosomal RNA", at positions 330 to 792 of the family's 1533-position model. The record is from RNAcentral.
CCCAGACUCCUACGGGAGGCAGCAGUGGGGAAUAUUGCACAAUGGGGGAAACCCUGAUGCAGCGACGCCGCGUGAGUGAAGAAGUAUUUCGGUAUGUAAAGCUCUCUCAGCAGGGAAGAUAAUGACGGUACCUGAGUAAGAAGCCCCGGCUAACUACGUGCCAGCAGCCGCGGUAAUACGUAGGGGGCAAGCGUUAUCCGGAUUUACUGGGUGUAAAGGGAGCGUAGACGGCAUGGCAAGUCUGAAGUGAAAGCCCGGGGCUCAACCGCGGGACUGCUUUGGAAACUGUUAAGCUGGAGUGCAGGAGAGGUAAGUGGAAUUCCUAGUGUAGCGGUGAAAUGCGUAGAUAUUAGGAGGAACACCAGUGGCGAAGGCGGCUUACUGGACUGUAACUGACGUUGAGGCUCGAAAGCGUGGGGAGCAAACAGGAUUAGAUCCCCCGGUA